Molecule: ribosomal RNA, 439 nt
Filed under: uncultured bacterium
Lineage: Bacteria
Description: partial 16S ribosomal RNA
Rfam family: Bacterial small subunit ribosomal RNA
Source: RNAcentral
CUACGGGACGCUCCAGUGAGGAAUAUUGCACAAUGGGGGAAACCCUGAUGCAGCAACGCCGCGUGGAGGAUGACGCAUUUCGGUGUGUAAACUCCUUUUAUAUGUCAAGAAAAUGACGGUAGCAUAUGAAUAAGCACCGGCUAACUCCGUGCCAGCAGCCGCGGUAAUACGGAGGGUGCAAGCGUUAUUCGGAAUCACUGGGCGUAAAGGACGCGUAGGCGGGUUAUCAAGUCAGGUGUGAAAUCCUACAGCUUAACUGUAGAACUGCACUUGAAACUGGUAGCCUAGAGUAUGGGAGGGGCAGAUGGAAUUAGUGGUGUAGGGGUAAAAUCCGUAGAUAUCACUAGGAAUACCGAAAGCGAAGGCGAUCUGCUGGAACAUUACUGACGCUAAGGCGUGAAAGCGUGGGGAGCAAACAGGAUUAGAUACCCCCGUAGUC